Molecule: small RNA, 231 nt
Filed under: uncultured Cytobacillus sp.
Lineage: Bacteria; Bacillati; Bacillota; Bacilli; Caryophanales; Bacillaceae
Description: BsrG
Rfam family: BsrG
About the family: bsrE, bsrG and bsrH pair through intermolecular interactions with antisense sRNAs. SR4 interaction with the 3'UTR of bsrG RNA promotes bsrG degradation and inhibits its translation.
Source: RNAcentral
UUCACAAGGGUGGUCGGCUAACCCCGCAGAAAGGGGGUGAGGCCUUUUGACAGUAUUUGAAUCGCUAAUGUUGAUGAUUUCAUUUACGACACUGAUUAUGGCAGUUUUAGCCUUUAAUCAUAAAAAAUAGACCUCCCUUGAGCCUUUAAACUUUAAGGGUGAGGUCUACGUCAAACUUAUUUGGCCGUCCCCUUUUAGGACGAACCUAUUGCAGAUGACCACAGGUGCUGC